AUGGUUUCAUCAAUGAAGCAGUACAGAGAUCAGGCCGAUGCGCCCUCGCCCCUCUCCCUCUCUCUGUCCCUGGGAGUCGUCUCCGACAGCAGCAAGAAGAUGCACCGCGGCGGCGCGGACGGUGAGUUCGUGUGCAAGACGUGCAGCCGCUCCUUCCCGUCGUUCCAGGCUCUGGGAGGACACCGGACCAGCCACCUCCGUGGCCGCCACUGCCUCGCGCUCGGCCUCGCUGCGGGGUCCGAUCAGCCGGGGACCAAGAAGACGGUGGACCAGAAGCAGGCGCACCGGUGCCACGUCUGCGGGAUCGGGUUCGAGAUGGGGCAGGCGCUUGGCGGCCACAUGCGCCGCCACCGCGAGCAGGAGGCCGCCACCACGGCGCAGGCGCCGCCCGUUCUGCUCCAGCUCUUCCUCUAG
This 414-nucleotide ribosomal RNA is filed under the name Triticum aestivum (bread wheat). RNAcentral describes it as "partial small subunit ribosomal RNA". Lineage: Eukaryota; Viridiplantae; Streptophyta; Magnoliopsida; Poales; Poaceae. The record is from RNAcentral.